RNAcentral lists this ribosomal RNA (468 nucleotides) under uncultured bacterium. RNAcentral's name for it is "partial 16S ribosomal RNA". It matches the Rfam family "Bacterial small subunit ribosomal RNA", at positions 28 to 507 of the family's 1533-position model. The record is from RNAcentral.
GACGAACGCUGGCGGCGUGCUUAACACAUGCAAGUCGAACGGAAAGGCCCUGCUUUUGUGGGGUGCUCGAGUGGCGAACAGGUGAGUAACACGUGAGUAACCUGCCCUUGACUUUGGGAUAACUUCAGGAAACUGGGGCUAAUACCGGAUAGGAGCUCCUGCUGCAUGGUGGGGGUUGGAAAGUUUCGGCGGUUGGGGAUGGACUCGCGGCUUAUCAGCUUGUUGGUGGGGUAGUGGCUUACCAAGGCUUUGACGGGUAGCCGGCCUGAGAGGGUGACCGGCCACCUUGGGACUGAGAUACGGACCAGUCUCCUACGGGAGGCAGCAGUGGGGAAUAUUGCACAAUGGGCGGACGCCUGAUGCAGCAACGCCGCGUGCGGGAUGACGGCCUUCGGGUUGUAAACCGCUUUCGCCUGUGACGAAGCGUGAGUGACGGUAAUGGGUAAAGAAGCACCGGCUAACUACGUG